GACGAACGCUGGCGGCGUGCUUAACACAUGCAAGUCGAGCGGUAAGGCCCUUUCGGGGGUACACGAGCGGCGAACGGGUGAGUAACACGUGGGUGACCUGCCCUCAGCUCUGGGAUAAGCCUGGGAAACCGGGUCUAAUACUGGAUAUGACUCCAUGACGCAUGUUGUGGGGUGGAAAGCCUUGUGCGGCUGAGGAUGGGCCCGCGGCCUAUCAGCUUGUUGGUGGGGUGAGGCCUACCAAGGCGACGACGGGUAGCCGGCCUGAGAGGGCGACCGGCCACACUGGGACUGAGACACGGCCCAGACUCCUACGGGAGGCAGCAGUGGGGAAUCUUGCGCAAUGGGCGAAAGCCUGACG
This 358-nucleotide ribosomal RNA is filed under the name uncultured bacterium. RNAcentral describes it as "bacterial SSU rRNA". It matches the Rfam family "Bacterial small subunit ribosomal RNA", at positions 28 to 388 of the family's 1533-position model. The record is from RNAcentral.